AAAGUGCGACAAGUGUCAUGACUUGCAGAUACCCGAGAGCUGACAAAUUUCUGAAUGCAAAUUGCAGCCAAUUUAACCUGGCUAUACACUGCAGAGAGUACUUCGCGUAUGCGCUUACUCCAGGGUUUCAACCAAAAGCCCUUGACCUUGGGACCUGCACGAUUGAAUCUGUUGACGUCGCAAUGCGAUGACCAGAUUCUCUCUUGUUAAAGUCAGAAAACUAUUGUUUUCCUGAACUAACUGAGAAAAAGAGUUUAAUCUCUUACCUCUCAUCUCUCACCUCUGCAAUGUAGGAGAACCCGCUGAACUUAA
RNAcentral lists this unclassified non-coding RNA (312 nucleotides) under uncultured fungus. RNAcentral describes it as "sequence contains ITS1". The stretch from base 1 to 101 matches the Rfam family "5.8S ribosomal RNA", at positions 50 to 154 of the family's 154-position model. The record is from RNAcentral. Lineage: Eukaryota; Fungi.